RNAcentral lists this small nuclear RNA (20 nucleotides) under Arabidopsis thaliana (thale cress). Its description in RNAcentral is "snRNA_17248". The record is from RNAcentral. Lineage: Eukaryota; Viridiplantae; Streptophyta; Magnoliopsida; Brassicales; Brassicaceae.
UGGAUCCGUAACUUCGGGAA